This 465-nucleotide ribosomal RNA is filed under the name uncultured bacterium. RNAcentral's name for it is "partial 16S ribosomal RNA". It matches the Rfam family "Bacterial small subunit ribosomal RNA", at positions 28 to 507 of the family's 1533-position model. The record is from RNAcentral.
GACGAACGCUGGCGGCGUGCUUAACACAUGCAAGUCGUACGGUAAGGCCCUUUCGGGGGUACACGAGUGGCGAACGGGUGAGUAACACGUGAGUAACCUGCCCACAACUUUGGGAUAACGCUAGGAAACUGGUGCUAAUACUGGAUAUGUGCUCCUGCUGCAUGGUGGGGGUUGGAAAGCUCCGGCGGUUGUGGAUGGACUCGCGGCCUAUCAGCUUGUUGGUGGGGUAGUGGCCUACCAAGGCGGCGACGGGUAGCCGGCCUGAGAGGGUGACCGGCCACAUUGGGACUGAGAUACGGCCCAGACUCCUACGGGAGGCAGCAGUGGGGAAUAUUGCACAAUGGGCGCAAGCCUGAUGCAGCAACGCCGCGUGCGGGAUGACGGCCUUCGGGUUGUAAACCGCUUUCAGCAGGGACGAAGCUUUAUGUGACGGUACCUGCAGAAGAAGCACCGGCUAACUACGUG